This is a non-coding RNA of Drosophila kikkawai, 137 nucleotides long. The record is from RefSeq and is a predicted model, not a curated record. NCBI's taxonomy places the organism in Eukaryota, Metazoa, Arthropoda, Insecta, Diptera, Drosophilidae.
GUGGCAGCAACAAGAAAGUGCUUGAGUUAAUUGAGUCUAGUUAAGCGCUGAUACAAUGCUGCCAGAGAAAUCUCAUAACCAAGAACAGUUCAGUUUGGUUAAAGUCUAUAAACUGAUCUACACGUGGUUUAACAUAU